CCUACGGGAGGCUGCAGUGGGGAAUAUUGCACAAUGGGCGCAAGCCUGAUGCAGCCAUGCCGCGUGUGUGAAGAAGGCCUUCGGGUUGUAAAGCACUUUCAGCGGGGAGGAAGGCGUUAAGGUUAAUAACCUUGGCGAUUGACGUUACCCGCAGAAGAAGCACCGGCUAACUCCGUGCCAGCAGCCGCGGUAAUACGGAGGGUGCAAGCGUUAAUCGGAAUUACUGGGCGUAAAGCGCACGCAGGCGGUCUGUCAAGUCGGAUGUGAAAUCCCGGGCUCAACCUGGGAACUGCAUUCGAAACUGGCAGGCUAGAGUCUUGUAGAGGGGGGUAGAAUUCCAGGUGUAGCGGUGAAAUGCGUAGAGAUCUGGAGGAAUACCGGUGGCGAAGGCGGCCCCCUGGACAAAGACUGACGCUCAGGUGCGAAAGCGUGGGGAGCAAACAGGAUUAGAUACCCCGGUAGUC
RNAcentral lists this ribosomal RNA (464 nucleotides) under uncultured Klebsiella sp. RNAcentral's name for it is "bacterial SSU rRNA". It matches the Rfam family "Bacterial small subunit ribosomal RNA", at positions 338 to 795 of the family's 1533-position model. Lineage: Bacteria; Pseudomonadati; Pseudomonadota; Gammaproteobacteria; Enterobacterales; Enterobacteriaceae. The record is from RNAcentral.